Molecule: ribosomal RNA, 253 nt
Filed under: uncultured bacterium
Lineage: Bacteria
Description: partial 16S ribosomal RNA
Rfam family: Bacterial small subunit ribosomal RNA
Source: RNAcentral
UACGAAGGGAGCUAGCGUUGUUCGGAAUUACUGGGCGUAAAGGGCGCGUAGGCGGACAUCUAAGUCAGGGGUGAAAUCCCAGGGCUCAACCCUGGAAUUGCCUUUGAUACUGGACGUCUCGAGUUCGGGAGAGGUGAGUGGAAUUCCGAGUGUAGAGGUGAAAUUCGUAGAUAUUGGGAAGAACACCGGUGGCGAAGGCGGCUAUCUGGCCCGUAAUUGACGCUGAGGCGCGAAAGCGUGGGGAGCAAACAGG